UGAGUAACACGUGGGUAACCUGCCCUAAAGUCUGGGAUACCACUUGGAAACAGGUGCUAAUACCGGAUAACAACAAUAGCUGCAUGGCUAUUGCUUAAAAGGCGGCGAAAGCUGUCGCUAAAGGAUGGACCCGCGGUGCAUUAGCUAGUUGGUAAGGUAAUGGCUUACCAAGGCGACGAUGCAUAGCCGAGUUGAGAGACUGAUCGGCCACAUUGGGACUGAGACACGGCCCAAACUCCUACGGGAGGCAGCAGUAGGGAAUCUUCCACAAUGGGCGAAAGCCUGAUGGAGCAACGCCGCGUGAGUGAAGAAGGUUUUCGGAUCGUAAAGCUCUGUUGUUGGUGAAGAAGGAUAGAGGUAGUAACUGGCCCCUAUUUGACGGUAAUCAACCAGAAAGUCACGGCUAACUACGUGCCAGCAGCCGCGGUAAUACGUAGGUGGCAAGCGUUGUCCGGAUUUAUUGGGCGUUAAGCGAGCGCAGGCGGAAAGAUAAGUCUGAUGUGAAAGCCCCCGGCUUAACCGAGGAAUUGCAUCGGAAACUGUGUUUCUUGAGUGCAGAAGAGGAGAGUGGAACUCCAUGUGUAGCGGUGGAAUGCGUAGAUAUAUGGAAGAACACCAGUGGCGAAGGCGGCUCUCUGGUCUGUAACUGACGCUGAGGCUCGAAAGCAUGGGCAGCGAACAGGAUUAGAUACCCUGGUAGUCCAUGCCGUAAA
This 713-nucleotide ribosomal RNA is filed under the name uncultured bacterium. Its description in RNAcentral is "bacterial SSU rRNA". It matches the Rfam family "Bacterial small subunit ribosomal RNA", at positions 107 to 806 of the family's 1533-position model. The record is from RNAcentral.